CCUAGACUAUACAAAAGAGGCAGUCGUUUAUCAUCUGAACCCGCACCCAAAGGGACCCCUCAUCUCAACAUCAUCUUCUUCAAAACUAACGCACAAAAUCAGCAGCCAUCUUCAACACUAACAGAGGAAACAAUCUAAAAACCUUGUAUUGAAGCUCCCAACUAUGACCCUUCUAGCCAAAACGACCCUUCAGCAUAUUCAACCUUACACCACAUCCACUUUUCUCGAUCUCCCUUCACCCUUGCACCCCACCUCCUUAAGCUAUGAGAAAAUGGCCUCACCAACACAUCCAUUAAUUGACUAAUAGGUGCUGGAAUUGGAUUCGAGUUCGACUAAGGUGAGGUUGAUUGAGGCGUUCAAGUUUGAUUUUUCGUUCGAGUUCUCGUCGCGCUGUAAUUUUCGAAGAUUUGAAUAUACCGGAAAGCGAUUCCAGUUUGUUGUGAGGUAGCAGCGCUAUGUAAAGGUGUUGGCGAUGAAGGAUUUACAGGAGCCAAGUUGCUAGUUUCUUUACUGUUCCAACGUGUUUUGGAUAUCAUGUCUAUUUUGGAUGAUUAUUGAAUUUAAUUUAAAUUUGUUAUGAUGAAUAUAAGGUCAUGGGUUGGUUAUUAGAAGUUUAAAGAAAUUUUAGUUGAA
Long non-coding RNA from Nicotiana tabacum (common tobacco), 633 nucleotides. RefSeq lists it as uncharacterized. NCBI's taxonomy places the organism in Eukaryota, Viridiplantae, Streptophyta, Magnoliopsida, Solanales, Solanaceae. The record is from RefSeq and is a predicted model, not a curated record.